Molecule: ribosomal RNA, 450 nt
Filed under: Lautropia mirabilis
Lineage: Bacteria; Pseudomonadati; Pseudomonadota; Betaproteobacteria; Burkholderiales; Burkholderiaceae
Description: bacterial SSU rRNA
Rfam family: Bacterial small subunit ribosomal RNA
Source: RNAcentral
AUUGAACGCUGGCGGCAUGCUUUACACAUGCAAGUCGAACGGCAGCGCGGGCUUCGGCCUGGCGGCGAGUGGCGAACGGGUGAGUAAUACAUCGGAACGUGCCCAGUAGUGGGGGAUAGCUCGGCGAAAGCCGGAUUAAUACCGCAUACGACCUGAGGGUGAAAGCGGGGGAUCUUCGGACCUCGCGCUAUUGGAGCGGCCGAUGGCAGAUUAGCUAGUUGGUGGGGUAAAGGCCUACCAAGGCGACGAUCUGUAGCUGGUCUGAGAGGACGACCAGCCACACUGGGACUGAGACACGGCCCAGACUCCUACGGGAGGCAGCAGUGGGGAAUUUUGGACAAUGGGCGAAAGCCUGAUCCAGCAAUGCCGCGUGUGUGAUGAAGGCCUUCGGGUUGUAAAGCACUUUUGGGGGAACGAAAGGGACUGUGCCAAUACCACGGUUCGAUGACC